This 74-nucleotide transfer RNA is filed under the name Platycephalus cultellatus. RNAcentral's name for it is "tRNA-Leu". It matches the Rfam family "tRNA". From Rfam's summary of the family: Transfer RNA (tRNA) molecules are approximately 80 nucleotides in length. The record is from RNAcentral. Lineage: Eukaryota; Metazoa; Chordata; Actinopteri; Perciformes; Platycephalidae.
GUUAAGGUGGCAGAGUCAGGCAAUUGCAAAAGACCUAAGCCCUUUACACAGAGGUUCAAAUCCUCUCCCUAACU